CAGCAGCCGCGGUAAAACGGAGGGGGCUAGCGUUGCUCGGAAUUACUGGGCGUAAAGCGCACGUAGGCGGCUUGGUAAGUUAGAGGUGAAAUCUUCGAGCUUAACUCGGAAACUGCCGUUGAUACUAUCUGUCUUGAAUAACGUUGAGGUGAGCGGAAUAUGUCAUGUAGCGGUGAAAUGCUUAGAUAUGACAUAGAACACCGAUUGCGAAGGCAGCUCACUAAACGCUCAUUGACGCUGAGGCACGAAAGCGUGUGGAUCAAACAGGAUUAGAUACCCCAGUAGUCCCUGUCUCUUAUCC
RNAcentral lists this ribosomal RNA (301 nucleotides) under uncultured bacterium. RNAcentral describes it as "partial 16S ribosomal RNA". It matches the Rfam family "Bacterial small subunit ribosomal RNA", at positions 509 to 809 of the family's 1533-position model. The record is from RNAcentral.